RNAcentral lists this unclassified non-coding RNA (200 nucleotides) under Hyaloscyphaceae sp. Its description in RNAcentral is "partial internal transcribed spacer 2". The record is from RNAcentral. Lineage: Eukaryota; Fungi; Ascomycota; Leotiomycetes; Helotiales; Hyaloscyphaceae.
UUAAGUUCAGCGGGUAUCCCUACCUGAUCCGAGGUCAAACUUAGAAAGUAAGGGGGGUUGAUGGCCAGCGUCUAUCGAGUCCCUGUAGCGAGGAGAUUUACUACGCUCAGGGCCCGACGGCACCGCCACUGAUUUAAGGCCCGCUAGGUUAGCAGCGGAGCCCAACACCAAGCAAUGCUUGAGGGUUGUAAUGACGCUCG